Molecule: ribosomal RNA, 1837 nt
Filed under: Triticum aestivum (bread wheat)
Lineage: Eukaryota; Viridiplantae; Streptophyta; Magnoliopsida; Poales; Poaceae
Description: partial small subunit ribosomal RNA
Source: RNAcentral
CGGUGAGUGAGAUAGGGGGAGGAGAGGGGGCGCUACCGCAACCGGCUACAGGGAGAGUCAGAGAGGGGGAGGAGAGGGGUGGCGCGGCGGGUGGUGCACGCAGAGGGUUGAUGCGGCGGCGGCGGGAGGACGCGACGACGCUUCCUCCGUUGGUGGCGGCGGGUGGACGCGUCGAGUUGUUGGCGGCUGGGUGGAGCGGGUGGCGCCGGGUGUCGACCUGGUGGAGGAGGGGCUCCUCUGGUGCUUGAGGCGGAGCGGCUCUCGAUGCGGUAGGAGCUCGGCGCGAACGACCCCUCGGCACCUAGCUGCCUUAGCGAGGGUAGAGGAGGGUGAGCGCGGAGAGGACAGAAGGGGCUAGGCAAGUUUUCUUAAUCCCACGGGGCGGCCACAUCACCAGGCGGCGAGCGGCGGCGACCUCCAGGCGGCGAGCGGUGGACGGGGGGAGAGCUAACGAACGAUACGUCGGACCCGCAGCACCAGGUGGCGAGCGGCGGCGACCUGCCGACCUCCAGCAGCCGUGGGUUCAUGGCGGGUGCGAGACCGCGAACGUGUGGCGGCCGGGACGGGGUAGGGUGGGAGGCGGUGGUAGAAGGGGUGGGGCUCGAGCCUAAAUGCUGCGGGUGACGGAAGGUCAAGCUCGAGGCGGAGCUGGAGUAGGGACGACGGCGGCAGAAGGGACUUGGUUCCUUCGGGAGUAGACUAUGCGAGAGGAGGCGCUGCACGAAGAGGUUGGUAACCAUGCGCUGCCACCAAGCCAGGCCCUCCACCGAGGACGUUAGGACCGCAGCGGCGUCGCCACCAAGGUAAGGCCGCCGUAGUCCCCUCGUGUGUUGCAGGUGCUCGUCGUUCGUCUCGACCGGUUACUACGUCGUCGCGACCGGUACUCCUCUGCGGACGGCACCGCCUGCGCCUCUGUUGUCGGUACCCGCACCUUCUGCCAAAACCUAGGACACUCGGCGGCGGCGACGGCGUGUCUUUCAGUUGCGCCCGGAAGACGACGAGGUACAGGUUGUUCAGCGGGUGCUCCGCAGUCACACCGUAACGAUCGAGGUCGAGGGGGGACGUUAGCAGAGACGGCGGCCGUGAACGUGCGUUAGCACGACCAAAGACAUCAAGUUCUAGUUUCCGUUCUUAGUCGGUUUAUACUACUACUCUUGUUCCGAUUACUACCUCUUGGAAGUAGAUAGCUUCGACUCGUCAGAUAACCCUUAUGAUUCAAAGUUACGCGUAGGAUUCAAAGUCAAUGGACUUUAGUUCCGGUCAAAGUCAGCUACGGCUUCAUUUGAUGGUGUAUGCACUACUGGAACUCUUUUAGGUACGUGAAGUUAACCUGUCCUCAAAAGACGGUGCAUUAGCUACUACGUGAAGUGCACUGUCUUAACAAACAAUUUCCUUGAAAACCGUUCUUUAUGUGUUGGCACAGUAAGUCACGACCUGGAGACAACAACCGUUCUUUAUGUGAUUACACAUCGAGUGACGACUCCAAAAAAUUUCCUUGAAAACCGUUGUUUAUGUGUUGGCACAGUAAGUCACGACCUGGAGACAAUAACCGUUCUUUAUGUGAUUACACAUCGAGUGACGACUCCAGUCGUUCUCCCCCAUGUCCGUGUAGACUGUGGAAAAAGAGAAGGCCGCGGAACGAUAAACGUAAAGGGUAAGCAUGGAUAGUAAAAAGUUGUCGUAAUCAUAACUACACCAUACAUAUGACUUGUUAACCGAACGGUACAUAAAAACCACAAGGUUGACCCUUGUACCCCUUCUUUACUGAUGUAACAUAUGUAGACUAUUUGUAAAUAACAGAACCCUACAUAAAAACCACAAGCUUGACCCUUGUACC